This 492-nucleotide ribosomal RNA is filed under the name uncultured bacterium. RNAcentral describes it as "partial 16S ribosomal RNA". It matches the Rfam family "Bacterial small subunit ribosomal RNA", at positions 29 to 507 of the family's 1533-position model. The record is from RNAcentral.
AGUGAACGCUGGCGGUAGGCCCAACACAUGCAAGUCGAACGGCAGCACAGUAAGAGCUUGCUCUUACGGGUGGCGAGUGGCGGACGGGUGAGGAAUACAUCGGACUCUACUUUUUCGUGGGGGAUAACGUAGGGAAACUUACGCUAAUACCGCAUACGACCUACGGGUGAAAGCAGGGGAUCUUCGGACCUUGCGCGAUUGAAUGAGCCGAUGUCGGAGUAGCUAGUUGGCGGGGUAAAGGCCCACCAAGGCGACGAUCUGUAGCUGGUCUGAGAGGAUGAUCAGCCACACUGGACCUGAGACACGGUCCAGACUCCUACGGGAGGCAGCAGUGGGGAAUAUUGGACAAUGGGCGCAAGCCUGAUCCAGCCAUACCGCGUGGGUGAAGAAGGCCUUCGGGUUGUAAAGCCCUUUUGUUGGGAAAGAAAAGCAGCAGGUUAAUACCCCGCUGUUCUGACGGUACCCAAAGAAUAAGCACCGGCUAACUUCGUG